AAGGAAUGGUACCAGCUCUUCUUUUUACCUCUGGUAGAAUUCGGCUCUGAAUUUCGUUCCACUCUCCCCAUCACUUUCAGGUACACCAACCAAAGACAUUGUUGUCUUUGGGACCAAUACAUUUCUUCUAUCUGCAUAUCUGGGUAGAAGCUCUCAUGGAAGAAAAAAGAAAAGCCCCAUAGGUGAAGGGGAGUGUGCCUGCCAAGUUCCUUGUAAUAACUUCACAUGCAGAGUAUUUUCUGAAAUGGAUCUGCUGGAGUCAUCUCAUGGAAUCUUCUCAUUCUUCUGGAGUCUCCUCAUUUUACAGGAAAAACAUCCAGGCAAGUGGACAGCAUUUGCAUCAGCCCAGCAAUAAGAAGGACCAUAUUCUACUUGGGAAAAGGUAAAGUCAUUUCAUAUGGAUGGAGCCUGCCAGGAAACCUGUCAUUCAACCCUUCGCAAUAAAACAGCUCCUCAUGAAUGAAGCAAAAUAAAUCAGAAGUUGUGGGCUUUUAAACUCACUAAAUGAAAGCCCAGCAUGCAUGCAGCCUCCCUCCAAAUUAAUCACCAGAUUAAAUGCAAGAUGUGCACACCAAAUCAAUAGCUUGUGACACAGACCUCCUGCCUGUGCUUCAGGAAAAUUCCAUUUCCUUUCAGAUGUUGUCGCUUGAAAUGUCAGGAAGUUUCCAUUCAUCACCCGCCCUUGAAAAUGCCACCAUCACCAUACUUCAUGUUUCCUUGCUUUCUUUCUUCAGAGGAAUCCAAGCACCUUGCAGAGGGAGCCCACUCCUUGUCACAG
This 778-nucleotide long non-coding RNA is filed under the name Pan troglodytes (chimpanzee). RNAcentral's name for it is "lincRNA". Lineage: Eukaryota; Metazoa; Chordata; Mammalia; Primates; Hominidae. The record is from RNAcentral.